Molecule: non-coding RNA, 5893 nt
Organism: Oryctolagus cuniculus (rabbit)
Lineage: Eukaryota; Metazoa; Chordata; Mammalia; Lagomorpha; Leporidae
Source: RefSeq, a predicted model, not a curated record
CUCUCUCAAUGGGACUCAGGUCUUAUAGAAACCGCAGGGCUCUCUAGCUACAAAGACUGAGUAUCUGUGCAUAAUGCUGUGGACUUCCUGCUUAUUUUUCCCAACAGAGAAGUACCUCACUGUUCUAAGCUUAUCCCCACUGGGAACAUUCUGGGGCAGAAGGCAGGCAGUUCUCUCCUCUUUAUGCAACAGCCUAGUCUCCUUGCCCCACGGGGUCUCAGUCACUCCCUGCUGCACCUCCGCACUCUGCUUCAAAUACUCUAGUCUGCAUAUAGUUGUUUGUUGAUUGCUUUGGUCCUUUAUUGUGGGCAGUAUGGAUGUUACGCAAUGCUAGUCAACUCUGUUGCUCAACCUCCUGAAGUAGCUCACUUCCGCAUGAAGAACAGUCCUCCAUUUUGGAAUAUCAUCCCCUCUGACUAGACACGGUAGCGCAGCAGGAUUCCUCACAGUGUGGUGAGUGAGACGUGCUCACACCAGAUGGACCCUGGCAAUCAGUGAGCUGACGGCUGCCACGACAGUAUCAUCCUCAAGUCUUGGUAAUCGCCUGAGGUCACCAGCCAAGAAGCCUCAUGCUGUUGCUUUAGUGUCCUGGUGCUGUCUCAAAUGAAUCCACAUGCAGGAUGGGAAGGUGCUGUGAACCAGUCAUGUCAAUUUAGAAUUACUACCAACAGCAGAACCUGGAGGCUUGACUCUGAAACCUGGAAAUGUGGAACAAAGCAGCAGAUCCUGACUGCAUGUUGAAGAUUUAAUCAUCUGGUAUCAUCUUGUCCCCAUCAGUAAAAGCCAAGGUAUGAGAAAAGAAAUUGAUGGAAGAUACCUGUGAAAAUAAUCAACUCAAACAUUAACCAUAUGACAAUCCAUAGUAAGUACUUCACAUAUGCAUUACUUAAUUUUUUUUUUUUUGACAGGCAGAGUUAGACACAGAGAAAGGUCUUCCUUCCAUUGGUUCACCCCCAAAGGCCUCCAAGGCCAGUGCUUUGCUGAUCUGAAGCCAGGUGCUUCCUCCUGGUCUCCCAUGUGGGUGCAGGGCCCAGCACUUGAGCCAUCCUCCACUGCCAUCCUGAGCCACAGCAGAGAGCUGGCCUGGAAGAGGGGCAACCGGGACAGAAUCCAGCGCCCUGACUGGGACUAGAACCCGGGGUGCCAGCGCUGCAGGCAGAGGCUUAGCCAGCAUUAUUUAACUUCAGGAUGACCAUCAGUUCUCUGUGGAUGAUGUCUCAUAGAGAUAGAGCAGCUGAUUACCUGAUAUAUGCAAAGGUUUUUAAAAAUCAAAUUGAAAAUACCUUCUAGAAAGGAAAACAGCUGAUGCCUUGCUUCUCAUUGCUUUCAAAUAAGUCCUUAUUUCGGGACAAAAUACAAACAGCCACUUUGAAAAUGAAAAGCAGUUUUUGCUGUUCACUCUUAAGCAGGAUUCCUGACCCCUUCUCUUUCCCAAAUGACCUUAUUUGACUUGAAAGCAAAACUAAUUUGUUGGGACAAAUGCGUCAGGGUGGGCAACCUGUCAGAGUAGAUCUGGAAGAUCCCAGAAGGCCAAGGGAAAGCAGAAUGCAGAACUUCUUGGAGCUUAAGGAUUUGUGCUAUAGCCUUUUCCAUAGAUAAGCUCUCCAAUGAUUAAGCAUGCGUAGAUAUUCAAUAGCCAGAGUAUGGGCAAUGUGAGUGGGAUAUAAGGAAGAACUCCCUUCUUACUAUUAAAUGGGCUCCUGGAAGGAAGGUGAGCCUUUUGUUAACUGAUAUUUGACCCCUAAAAUAAAUUGCCCCUGUCUCUACCAGUUUUGAACUUAUUUCCCCAAUUUCUCUAUGCAUUUCCCACUUCCUUUGGGGCCUUGUCUGCAUUUUCCAGAAAUGCUCAAAAAAAAAAAAAAAAUUCUGGUGGGAGUAGAUACUGAGGAGUCACAAUUAUCAUUCAUUGCAGGAUGCACUGAAAAAAAGAAAUCUUAAAAAAAAAAUUCACUGCUUCCCCAGUUUGGCCAUGUUUAACACAUAAUGCCUCUUUCCACCAUGAGAACAGCAGUGAGUACUGGACCAACCAUUCCCCCACUUCACCCACCUUCCACUUUGGUUGUCUGGGUGAGCAACCUACAUAAUCGUGGAGCUGUCUGGGAUGUGAACACCUCAUUCUGUUCGCUCAGGUGUUGGCCACACAAGCAAAAUGUCAGGUGAAAAGCUGUUACCUGAAAUACUCCCAGACUUGCCAUCUCCUUUUCAAUAAACAGAGGAAGAGUUGCUACCAUGUGCUUUGAUAUAAACAGGCACAGAGGUGUAGACCCUUCAGCAUUGGGGAGGCUACACAGAGGAUGCCUGCAAUGAAUGAGUUACAUACACACAACAUGUGCAUACCACAGGUACUCAAGAAUGUUUUUUGAAUAAAUUAAUGUGGAGAAUCCAGGAUUAAUUUGGGAAUGAGAAUACUCAAUCAAAUCAGCAUACCCAUUAUAUGGAUAAGAACGCUAAGUGUGCUUUGUGAUUAAUGUUUCCUCCGUGGCUCUUUCAGGAUUGCACCUGAAGACUUAGUCCCAGUGGCCAAGUGGCUGUGGAAAUAGCCCAUAAAAUUCUCCUCCUCCUCCAGGCACUGUACUAGGGCAAGCAGGUGGAGAGGGGUAGCACAGUGGAGGGAGGUUGCUGAGCACAGCUUUGCAGCCCUAGGAAGCCAGAGUGCCUGGAGCCGAAUCCCAACAUUGUCGCACAUGAACUGGGACUCUGGGCCAGUUACUUCUUCUCUUGGAUCCUCAUCUGUAAAAUGGAGUGAACAAAAGUACUAUCCUCUUCAGAAUACCAUGAGGAAUAGACAUCAACAGCAGACAAGGUCACCUUGAGACUGCAAUGGAUCAGAACAAAAAUAAGAUACUUGAAACAAUCAAACCACAGAAUUGCUCUUGCCUCACCGAAGCAUCUGGUGCAGAACAUAACUUCCCCUCCUCGGUGUUUGCUCCACAUCGCCACGCUCCAGCCUAAAUCCUGCAAGUCCUUUCUAAUAGCUGUUCACUGAGACGCCGCCACUGUGCCCCCUGGCAUGCAUGAUCCUGCCCUGCAAGGGGUAAUCAACAAGUUGUCAACUACUAGUGUGCUCCUGUGUCGCCCUAGAGACAGCACUGAUCCAGGGCAUGGAGGAAGAAGUGAACAUUUAUGGAGCAUAUCCUAAUUCAAAGGCUCUGGGUGAGACACCUAACCCAUACUAUUUUACUUAAUCUUCAGGAUAACCCUAGGAGGUGGAUAUUUGUUAACUACAUUUUACAGACAAGGAGGUAGAGUGUCAGGAGCCAAAUAAUUUGCACAAAGUAAUGAAGAGCAGGUAAGUGGGCUAAAUCUAAUAGUACUUAGUACAUUGCAGGAAAUCACCAAGAGGCACACAGCAGAAUAUUUGCAAUCAAACACUGGCACAGCAACUCCACGGGAGGAAUUCAGGCGAGACCAGGUAUGUUCCCCACCUGGAACAAAAGAUGGGAAUGGAAAUUGCAACUAAAGAGACAAAGGAGGUCUUUUGUCUGGGUCACGCCUUCCUCUGUCCCCUGCCUGUGUUAAUUACAACGUUUUCUUGACUGAUAAUCAUCAGUCCGUGGAGGAAGUACAGCCCUUCCAUUGGUUUCCAGAUGAAGGCUUCAUGAGGUUCUACAGCAAUCAAAUCAGAACCUGUGCGUCCUCCAAUAGAGCUAAAGGGGCAGGAGAUGACCUUUCCAGCUCUGCUCCCUUCGUGAUGCGUCCUGCAUGUUGUCUCCAUCCAGCAUGCAGCAGGCACAGCCCCUUCUCAGAUGUGCACGGUCAGAUCUGCAUGCUCCCUACACGUCUCUGCUGUGCGGGAAAUGGGUGGCCUCUAUGGAAUUUCACUGUCUGGCCUCCAGUAUGUGCAGAGAGACACCCCAACAUUCUGACUGAAGUCCCCCUCUGAGCACAAGUAGGCAAUUCAGGACCACCCAAUUUGCCUACUUUGCCUCAGUUCUUUCCCAGCUCUGCAGGCAGUAAGAAAGCUCCACCUCGGAGUGAGAGCAGGGGUCUACGCCUCAGCCCACUUGACCUUAAGCCAAUUAGGUAACCUGUCUCUGCACCAGUUUUACCCUCUACAGGAGGAGAUGACAGGAAUGCUUCCCUUUAAAGGGACUUCUUUUUCCUUUUCCCCACCCCUCUUCCCUUCACCCAUGUGGCUCCCUGAGCUCAACUCACCACCAGGCUUCAUGGGUAGGCAUGAAAUUCAAGCCUGUCGAAUCGAAAACAUGGUCAAGGAUGAGCAUGUCAUUUGGCAUAAGUCACUCACAAAAUACUAUGACAAACACCUUUUCAUUUGCUGUAAGCUUGGAGCUGCUCAGAGUUGGCUUGGGUAGAGCCAAUUGGUAAGAAAGCCAAGAGAAAGGUGAAGCAAAGAUUUUUAAGAAUGCAGGGAUCUAGCCGGAAGCAUCUCCUGGUGUUUUCCGUCCUAGGAGCAAAUGUUCCCUCCCACCUUUGCAAAUGUAAACACACGUUAAGGUGAGUUUCUGCCAUUUGCAUCCAGAGGAGGGUUGACCAAUACACUUUCUCUUACUGUACUGUGAGAAGUAAGUUAGAAGAUCCAUAUGAAGCAUUUAGCACAGUGCAUGGAACGCCUCCGCGACCCAGGCAGCCCAUUUGCACGUGCUGGUGAGGAGAGUGUGUCCCAGCAGAGCCGGAAUCUCCCCUCCAAGUCACCUGUACUGUGACACCCGCAGCCCUUGGUGAACACCAAAACACAACGUCAUCCUGGGAGUGACUUCUGAUCUUCUCAACUUUCAGGAUUUAUCUUGGCAUUACCCCUCCCAGUGUCCUGCCUACAUGUGCUGGCCAGUCCCUCGGACUGCUCUCCUCUCUGACACAACUCACGGCAAAACGAGGGGUAACAGCAGUACUGUGGACACAGGAAGCCAUUCUGGCACCCAGAGCCCACUUCCUAAUGAAUCUCAAAAGGAUCAUCACCGCUUCACCAGAAGAACAGUGUUGGUGGAAGAAUAUGGCUAAGGCACAGCAACUCAGCAGGACCCGGAAGCUUCAACUUCAGCACACAAAAGGAAGGGGAGGGGCAUGGACUUCAACUUCAAAGUUUAAAGAACAAAAUCCUAACUAUGUAAAUACAAUGUCCCCCACACCUAUCCUGGUAAGCCAUGAGGGGGCUUGGAAACAUUUCUUUUAAUUCCAUUCUACAAUGUGAAUUUACCAUGAACAUCUGGAAAUCCCAUCCCAUUCUUCACUCCUUCCUACCAGUCUUUACGGAAUUGGGGCCAAUAUGAAGUUAAGAGGUGCUACAUGUUAUGUUUUCUUCAGAACUGCCCCAGCCAGACCUCUUAUUUGCCCCUUUGGGGUUGCAGUUUAUAGAAUAAAUUUGCCACAUGAGCAAACUGUGAUUCAUUCCUUGCCUCAAGACUACAUGGUAUUUAAAGGAUAUGGGGUUAGAUUCAAAUACAGAAUCGUAGGAAAAUGUUACAUUGGAAAUUAAUAUUAAAUGGUUCUGGAGCAGAUAAAGCUGCAAAGUGAGAUGUCUCUAUCCCAUAUCAGAACACCUGGGAUCGAGUCCUCCCUCUGCUUCCAAUAGUGGCUCCCUGCUGAGAUGCAUGCUGGGGGGCAGAUGCUGGCUCAAGUGCUUGGGUCCCUGCCUUCCAUGGGGGAGACCCAGUUGGAGUGUCUGACUCUGGCAGGGAUUUGGGGAGUGAACCAUGAAAGCACACUCCCCCAAACACACAUCACACCUAUCAUAAAAAUAAUCAGUAUUCAACAUCAAUAGUCCUGUCCAGUGCUUCCAAAAACUGGUCUCUCAAUCUGAGGUGAUAGAACCAUCUAGAAAGUUUUCAGAAAAAUACAGAUUCCCUGAACCUUUCCCUAGAAUUGGUUUUCAAUCAUGCAGGGUAGAGCUGGGGCCACUGUUGCCAUAACAUUUGUUAAAAAGCAUUAAAAACAG